ACGCAAUAAGUAUCCCGGCCUGGGGAGUACGAUCGCAAGGUUGAAACUCAAAGGAAUUGACGGGGGCCCGCACAAGCGGUGGAGCAUGUGGUUUAAUUCGAUGCAACGCGAAGAACCUUACCAGGUCUUGACAUCCAAAGAACCUUAACGAAAGUUGAGGGUGCCUUCGGGAGCUUUGAGACAGGUGGUGCAUGGUUGUCGUCAGCUCGUGUCGUGAGAUGUUGGGUUAAGUCCCGCAACGAGCGCAACCCUUGCUAUUAGUUGCUAACAGGUAGAGCUGAGCACUCUAAUGGGACUGCCCGUGACAAGCGGGAGGAAGGUGGGGAUGACGUCAAAUCAUCAUGCCCUUUAUGAUCUGGGCUACACACGUGCUACAAUGGAUGGUACAAAGAGAAGCGAGACCGCGAGGUGGAGCGAAUCUCAAAAAGCCAUUCUCA
This 437-nucleotide ribosomal RNA is filed under the name uncultured bacterium. RNAcentral's name for it is "bacterial SSU rRNA". It matches the Rfam family "Bacterial small subunit ribosomal RNA", at positions 855 to 1290 of the family's 1533-position model. The record is from RNAcentral.